GACGAGGGAUCCUAGCGUUGUUCGGAAUCAUUGGGCGUAAAGCGAAUGUAGGCUGCCAUUCAAGUCAGUUGUGAAAGCCCCGGGCUCAACCCGGGAAGUGCUUCUGAUACUGUUUGGCUUGAGUACUAGAGAGGAUAGUAGAAUUCCAGGUGUAGUGGUGAAAUACGUAGAUAUCUGGAGGAAUACCGGUGGCGAAGGCGGCUAUCUGGCUAUGUACUGACGCUGAGAUUCGAAAGCGUGGGGAGCAAACAGG
RNAcentral lists this ribosomal RNA (253 nucleotides) under uncultured bacterium. Its description in RNAcentral is "partial 16S ribosomal RNA". It matches the Rfam family "Bacterial small subunit ribosomal RNA", at positions 524 to 776 of the family's 1533-position model. The record is from RNAcentral.